CCUCUAGAUGAGGAAGAGUUUAUAGCAUAUAUUGUUAAUGGCCUAGAUGGCGACUAUGGUUCGUUUGUGUCCUCACUCGGGAUGAGGGUUGAACCCAUCUCAGUGAUGGAAUUGUAUGCUCAAUUGUUGAAUUAUGAGA
Oryza punctata is the source of this 139-nucleotide non-coding RNA. The record is from Rfam. NCBI's taxonomy places the organism in Eukaryota, Viridiplantae, Streptophyta, Magnoliopsida, Poales, Poaceae.